Camellia sinensis is the source of this 382-nucleotide non-coding RNA. The record is from RefSeq and is a predicted model, not a curated record. Lineage: Eukaryota; Viridiplantae; Streptophyta; Magnoliopsida; Ericales; Theaceae.
GAGGGGAGCUCAAUGGAGUAGAGGGCUUCGGCCCAUGGGACGAAGUGAGGAAGAAAAAAAUAGAAAGAAAGGCAGAGUGGGAGAGUAGUUUGUAGAUAUUAGUGUGUAAUAAUUCUUCUGUCUUAGAAUAGAGAUGAAAUCCUGAUCAAAUAAUUGAGGUGCUUGGCGGUCGUGGAAUUGGGUUUUGUGGGGGUCUGUAUCAAAAUCUUAGGAUCAUGUUUGAUUCACAAGACUAAUGGUGAGGCGUGUUAUGCGGAUGAAUUGUGGAGAAGAAAAGCUCUGUAAAAGCAGAAGUUCAGGUUCUUGGUGCCCUGCCCUGCCCAGAUAAAUCUUUCAUUGUUGUUCUUUCAUUUUAUUCCCUCUUUUCUUUUCUGUAACUGAA